Molecule: long non-coding RNA, 297 nt
Filed under: Mytilus galloprovincialis (Mediterranean mussel)
Lineage: Eukaryota; Metazoa; Mollusca; Bivalvia; Mytilida; Mytilidae
Source: RNAcentral
GAUUGUGCCUGAUGUUCAUAUGAUGAAAUCAUAAUCUUUCAGUCAGUUUAAUUGAAGUCUGGAGCUGGCAUGUCAGUUAACUGCUAGUAGUCUGUUGUUAUUUAUGUAUUAUUGUCAUUUUGUUUAUUUUCUUUGGUUACAUCUUCUGACAUCAGACUCGGACUUCUCUUGAACUGAAUUUUAAUGUGCGUAUUGUUAUGCGUUUACUUUUCUACAUUGGCUAGAGGUAUAGGGGGAGGGUUGAGAUCUCACAAACAUGUUUAACCCCGCCUCAUUUUUGCGCCUGUCCCAAGUCAG